RNAcentral lists this ribosomal RNA (584 nucleotides) under Streptomyces tsukubensis. RNAcentral's name for it is "bacterial SSU rRNA". It matches the Rfam family "Bacterial small subunit ribosomal RNA", at positions 574 to 1149 of the family's 1533-position model. Lineage: Bacteria; Bacillati; Actinomycetota; Actinomycetes; Kitasatosporales; Streptomycetaceae. The record is from RNAcentral.
GGCGGCUUUUUACGUCGGUGCUAGAGCCCCGGGCUUAACUCCGGUUCUCCUUUCGAUAUGGCCGGCUAGAGUGUGGUUGGGGAGGUUGGAUUUUCCUGUCGUAGCGGGGAAUAGCGCAGAUAUCAGGAGGACACUGGUGGCGAAGGCGGAUCUGUGGGCCAUUUCUGACGUUGAGGAGUGAAAGCGUGGGGAGCGAACUGGAUUAGAUUCCCUGGUAGUCCACGCCGUAAACGCUGGGAACUUGGUGUUGGCGACAUUCCACGUCGUCGGUGCCGCAGCUAACGCAUUAAGUUACCCGCCUGGGGAGUACGGCCGCAAGGAUAAAACUCAAAGGAUUUGACGGGGGCCCGCACAAGCAGCGGAGCAUGUGGUUUAAUUCGACGCAAUGCGAAGAACCUUACCAAGGCGGGACAUACACCGGAAAGCAUUAGAGAUAGUGCCCCCCUUGUGGUCGGUGUACAGGUGGUGCAUGGAAAUAGUCAGCUAGUGUCGUGAGAUGUUGGGUUAAGUCCCGCAACGAGCGCAACCGAUGUCCCGUGUUGCCAGCAAGCCCCCUUGUGGGGUGUGGGGGACUCACGGGAGAC